GCCGGGGUGGUGUAAUUGGUAGCCACGCGACACUUAAGAUGUCGUGAGCGAAAGCUCGUGAGGGUUCGACCCCCUCCCCCGGCA
RNAcentral lists this transfer RNA (84 nucleotides) under Candidatus Komeilibacteria bacterium. RNAcentral describes it as "tRNA-Leu". It matches the Rfam family "tRNA". Rfam says of the family: Transfer RNA (tRNA) molecules are approximately 80 nucleotides in length. Their secondary structure includes four short double-helical elements and three loops (D, anti-codon, and T loops). Further hydrogen bonds mediate the characteristic L-shaped molecular structure. tRNAs have two regions of fundamental functional importance: the anti-codon, which is responsible for specific mRNA codon recognition, and the 3' end, to which the tRNAs corresponding amino acid is attached (by aminoacyl-tRNA synthetases). tRNAs cope with the degeneracy of the genetic code in two manners: having more than one tRNA (with a specific anti-codon) for a particular amino acid; and 'wobble' base-pairing, i.e. permitting non-standard base-pairing at the 3rd anti-codon position. The record is from RNAcentral. Lineage: Bacteria; Candidatus Komeiliibacteriota.